RNAcentral lists this ribosomal RNA (253 nucleotides) under uncultured bacterium. RNAcentral describes it as "partial 16S ribosomal RNA". It matches the Rfam family "Bacterial small subunit ribosomal RNA", at positions 524 to 776 of the family's 1533-position model. The record is from RNAcentral.
UACGUAGGUGGCAAGCGUUGUCCGGAUUUACUGGGUGUAAAGGGAGCGUAGACGGCCAGACAAGUCUGAAGUGAAAAUCCAGCGCUUAACGUUGGAAGUGCUUUGGAAACUGCCGGGCUGGAGUGCAGGAGGGGCAGGCGGAAUUCCUAGUGUAGCGGUGAAAUGCGUAGAUAUUAGGAGGAACACCAGUGGCGAAGGCGGCCUGCUGGACUGCAACUGACGUUGAGGCUCGAAGGCGUGGGGAGCAAACAGG